AAACUGAAGAGUUUGAUCCUGGCUCAGAUUGAACGCUGGCGGCAUGCCUUACACAUGCAAGUCGAACGG
This 69-nucleotide ribosomal RNA is filed under the name Burkholderia cepacia. RNAcentral's name for it is "partial 16S ribosomal RNA". It matches the Rfam family "Bacterial small subunit ribosomal RNA", at positions 1 to 69 of the family's 1533-position model. RNAcentral also lists the same sequence under 4 other names. The record is from RNAcentral. Lineage: Bacteria; Pseudomonadati; Pseudomonadota; Betaproteobacteria; Burkholderiales; Burkholderiaceae.